This 356-nucleotide ribosomal RNA is filed under the name Entrophospora infrequens. Its description in RNAcentral is "eukaryotic LSU rRNA". The record is from RNAcentral. Lineage: Eukaryota; Fungi; Glomeromycota; Glomeromycetes; Entrophosporales; Entrophosporaceae.
UUUUGAAAGGGAAACGAUUGAAGUCAGUCGUGCUGGCGCGAAAUCAACCCUCUCGUCUUGAGAUCACAUGGCGCGACGAGCCUCAAAACCGUCACGAAGCGUGAACUCUUGACGAAAAGGUGCACUUUCGUGUCCGUGGUUAACAUCAAUUUCGAACGUUCAUAAAACAGGUGGAGGGAUGUGGCUCCUCGGGAGUGUUAUAACCUUUAGCGGAAUGUGGUGUUCGGGAUUGAGGAUUGCAACGAAUACCUUCAGGGCUGUUCCACCUGGCUUCUCAUUGGUAUCCUGGUGACGACAGCUUGCUGACGUCGUUAGAUCCAGCUCUGAAAGGCUUAGAGUGUGAACAAAUUCGUUAA